UACGUAGGGUCCGAGCGUUGUCCGGAAUUACUGGGCGUAAAGAGCUCGUAGGUGGUUUGUCGCGUUGUUCGUGAAAACUCACAGCUCAACUGUGGGCGUGCGGGCGAUACGGGCAGACUAGAGUGCGGUAGGGGAGAUUGGAAUUCCUGGUGUAGCGGUGGAAUGCGCAGAUAUCAGGAGGAACACCGAUGGCGAAGGCAGAUCUCUGGGCCGUUACUGACGCUGAGGAGCGAAAGCGUGGGGGAGCGAAACAGG
RNAcentral lists this ribosomal RNA (255 nucleotides) under uncultured bacterium. RNAcentral's name for it is "partial 16S ribosomal RNA". It matches the Rfam family "Bacterial small subunit ribosomal RNA", at positions 524 to 776 of the family's 1533-position model. The record is from RNAcentral.